RNAcentral lists this ribosomal RNA (301 nucleotides) under uncultured bacterium. RNAcentral describes it as "partial 16S ribosomal RNA". It matches the Rfam family "Bacterial small subunit ribosomal RNA", at positions 509 to 809 of the family's 1533-position model. The record is from RNAcentral.
CAGUAGCCGCGGUAAUACAGAGGAUGUAAGCGUUAUCCGGAAUGAUUGGGCGUAAAGCGUCUGUAGGUGGCUUUUCACGUCCGCCGUCAAAUCCCAGGGCUCAACCCUGGACAGGCGGUGGACACUACCAAGCUGGAGUACGGUAGGGGCAGAGGGAAUUUUCGGUGGAGCGGUGAAAUGCGUUGAGAUCAGAAAGAACACCAACAGCGAAAGCACUCUACUGGGCUGACGCUGACACUGAGAGACGAACGCUAGGGGAGAAAAUGGGAUUAGAGACCCCAGUAGUCCCUGUCUCUUAUAA